GCUAUUGUAGCUCAGCGGUAGAGCAUCUGUCUUGCAGACCAAAGGUCUCAGGUUCAAUCCCCAAUGGAA
Podarcis lilfordi (Lilford's wall lizard) is the source of this 69-nucleotide non-coding RNA. The record is from the annotation of a GenBank genome assembly. NCBI's taxonomy places the organism in Eukaryota, Metazoa, Chordata, Lepidosauria, Squamata, Lacertidae.